RNAcentral lists this long non-coding RNA (4744 nucleotides) under Homo sapiens (human). Its description in RNAcentral is "HSALNT0395583". Lineage: Eukaryota; Metazoa; Chordata; Mammalia; Primates; Hominidae. The record is from RNAcentral.
AGUCACCGGCGUCACGAAACACGCGCUGCACGAAAAGGCACGAGUCGUUGGCGCCUCCGCAGCGGCCACAGCGGUCCUCGAGGGCACCCGAGCCCAACAACCCAUCACAGCCGGCGCUCUAAAGGGUGAAGGACAGGCGCGGCGUCACUGACGCUGGGAGGGGCAGGACCUGGGGAAAGGGCAGUGCCUGGGAGCAAGAGGACGAGGCCUGGAGGGAAGAUGGGGGUGGAGCCUAGGGAGGAGCAGGACCUGGCGGGAGGAGGAUGGGCUUGGCGCCCGGGAGUGGGUGCCUAAGGGGGGCUGGGGGCAGGGCCUGGAAGGGGAGGGGGAAGGCGGUGGAGCCUAGGGAGGGGGUGGAGGCUAAUGGGAGGAGGGCGGAGGUGGAGCCUAGGAUGGGUGGGGCCUGAGUGGGAGGUGGGCGGGGCUCGGGCGGGGCCUGACGAGUCCUUACAAGGCAGCGGCCAGCCACGCAGACCCCCUGGGCACCCGGGCUGCAGGCGGUGCCGUCCAGGACGCGGCCGAAGCUGUGGUAGAAGGCGUGCCCCUCAGCCAGGCAGUUGAGGUCGCACUGGUUGGGCGCUGAGGGCAGGAGGAGUCGGUGGGCCGGGGACCCCUGUUCGAGCUCCAGUCCCCCUCUACCAAGCUUCAUCAGGCAACCAUCACUUUGGGCAGAUGAAGCCCAGAGAUUUGGCCAAAGCCACACAUCGAGGCUGAGGCAGAGCCAGGACUGGACCGUAGGUGCUCUGCGUCCAGCAACCUGGGACUCGCAGACACUGUUCCAAGCUCUAGGAUACAGAAGCAAGAAUUCAAUCAGUGUGCAGAUGGAUGGCCUUAAAAAAGGCCAGGUGUGGUGUCUCAUGCCUGUAAUCCCAGCACAUUGGGAGGCUGAGGUGGGCAGAUCUCCUGAGGCCAGGAGUUCAAGACCAGCCUGGGCAACAUGGCGAGACCCCCCCGUCUCUACCAAAAAUACAACAAUAAAAAUUUAGCCAGGCUUGGUGGUGGGAGCCUGUAAUCCCAGCUACUCCGGAGGCUGAGGCAGGAGAAUCGCUUGAACCAGGGAGGUGGAGGCUGUAGUGAGCCAAGAUCAUGCCACUGCACUCCAGCCUGGGUGACAGAGCGAGACUCCAUCUCAAAAAAAAAAAAAAAAAAAAAAAAAGAAGAUCUGAGCAUCUGGCCCAGGCACCAGCAAGUACCCAAUGAAGUGUUUGUCCAGUACUGACUGGACUGAGUCCCGCACAACUGAGCUGUGUCGCUGGUCCUCCCUGGGCCUCAGUUUCCCCUUCUGCCUGGAAGUGGGGCAAAAUGAGCUGUCUGAUCAAACACAAAGGCCGACAGCCCUGAUCUCCACUCCUCCUUCUCCAGCUCCUUCUGGCUCCCAUUUCCCUGAGCCUGGCUGGUGGACCCUGCCUGGAACGGAUCCUGGGCUGGCCCUAGUGGGCCUCUGCGGGGGUGGGAUCACAGCAGGUUUCCUCCAAUUCUCAGAUUGAUGGAAGGAAGGAAGGGAGGGAGGGAGGGAGGGAGGGAGGAAGGAAGGGAAGGGAGAAAGGGAAGGAAGGGAAGGAAGAAAGGGAAGGAAGGAAGGAAAUGAGGUUGAUGGAUGGCACUUUGUCCAUUCUAGGCUUUUCUUAUAUCUGUGUCUGCCUUCCCCAUGGCGUGUGAAGCUGCCUGUCUCCCUGAAAUCUGGAGGCGCACUGACCCGGGCACGUAGUUAUAUAACUCGCUAUUUUCAGCUCAAUGCAGCAACAUUUCCUGCUACUGGGAUAAGUUUGAGAAGUGUUGGCCUCUGGAUACAGCUCUAAGUCAAUCCUUAGUUGGGUGUUCAGCCCUGUGCAGAAUGAACCCUGCUUCCCUCUGCCCCUGUUUCACGCCUAACAUAUGCUGUUUCUGUUUCACUAACUCCUACAUAUCCUUCAAAGCCCUAGCACUAAUACCCUCUUCUCUUUGCAACCCUCCAAGACCCUCUCCCUGAGACUAAUGAGUUGUUCGCUCUGGACCAAUUCUGACCACAGGAGACCAGACUACUCACCCCCAUGGAAGGGCACCCACUGGUAGGUCUUCUGGGUGCCCAGGACAGGGCGGCCAUUGUACAGGGCACACUGUAGGUCUCGGAAGGGCACAGCCCCUGGGGGGCAGUCCUAGGGACAGAGAUAGGUGAGCCAGAGGCUGGGACAACCCCAAGGGGCAGGUGGUGGGCUUCAGGCAGUCUGGGGUGGGAGAGUGGUCUGGGAGGUGGGCAGGGCUUACUGGCAACUGGCAGAGGCGGUACUCAUGGGAGUCUCCCCAGCACGGUUCUUCCCCAGGAAGCCUGAAGGGAGACAGAGUGUGGCGAGAACCCCCAGGGACCCCCUCCCAGGGCUGGCCUUCCACCCUCCGCCCCCGCCAACCCCACCCGCAUUCCAGCGGGAUCAGGGGGAUUAAAGGGCACAGCAUGUGUGGGCAGGCCGAGGGUGCGGCCAGGGGCCGGGCUGGGCCGGCGGGGGAGGAGGGGCAGGGACCCCCUCCGGGCCCCGCUCACCGGAGGCAGCGCCGGCUGCGCACAGAGACGCCACGCCCGCAGGAGCUGGAGCAGCGGGUCCAGGACACCCACGGGGUCCACUCGCCCGGACCCUACUUGGGGAGACAGAGGCACGGUCAGCCUUGUAGGGGGACGCUGGUGACCCCACACUGCUGACUGGGUCCCCAUUCCCACUCGCCACCCCCUGGGCUCAUGCCCCCCCUUACCUGAGCACUGACCCCCAAACCACAGUUCAGCAGGGCCCACAGGAAGAGCAGGAGGUUCUGGAAGAGGUGGGGCCUGGGGAACAGAGGGGCCGAGUCCAUAGAGCCACCGCCAGAGACACAGGGUUGUGUCCCGGCUCUGCCCUGACUGGCUGUGUGAUCUUGGAAAGUAACUAAACCUCUCUGAGCCCUACCUCUCGUCUCUGAAAAACGGGGUAAUAGAGCCUCCCUUACAGGAAAGUUGAGGGGUCCUGUGGAUCAGGUAAAGAAGACAGGAGACGUGGAGCCCGGUAUGGAGAGGAAGAACUCAGAAUGUCAUCUGCAAUUAUUAUUGUUGUUAGUUAGUUUGUUUUUGAGACGGAGUCUCGCUCUGUCGCCCAGGCUGGAGUGCAGGGGUGCGAUCUCGGCUCACUGCAACCCUCCCCGGUUCAAGUAAUUCUCCUGCCUCAGCAUCCCGAGAAGCUAGGAUUACAGGUGCCUGCCACCACGCCGGACUAAUUUUUGCCGUUUUAGUGGAGACAGGGUUUCACCAUCUUGGCCAGGUUGGUCUCAACCUUCUGACCUGAAGUGAUCCACCUGCUUUGGCCUCCCAAAGUGCUAGGAUUAUAGGCAUGAGCCACUGCACCCAGCCUACAAUAUUAUUGAUAUGUGUAUUGUGCUAUAAUGCAGACAGUAGGUGCUUAAUCGAUGCUUGAUGAUUGGAGGGAUCAUUCAAAAAUAGUACACAGGUGCCUCCUAGGGCUGGGGCCCCCUCCCCGCCCUCCCCACCAUCACUGCUUCUACCUUUCCGUGUGGCCUGAGGCCAGCCACUCCACUCUCCCAGGCCUCAGUUUCCCCAUCUGUGCAGUGGGGGCCAAGUGGACUCAGUCCAUGAUUCUGUGACACCCUGCGGAAGGUGCGGCCGGCAGGGGCUGGAUCAGGAGUUGGGUCCCUAGAAGAGGCCCUCAGCUGCACCCCGGCCCCAGGGCUCCCUCAGCUCCCAGACAGCAGGGAGUCCCCCGGAUUGGGGAUGGGACAGGGAGGGGGUGACCUGGCCCAGGUCCGUUCGGUGCCUCAUGGCCUCAUCGGCGGAGGGGGUGGGACUGAGCUCCGGGGCAGCCCGUGGAGGGAAGGGGCCACUGCUGAGGCUGGAGCAGGGAAGGGGAGGAGGCUGACUGCCUCUCUGGGCCUUAGUUUCUCCAUCCUGUCAGGGCAGGGAUGAAGUCACUUGCCAUCCACACCCUCCUCAUGACCCCAGCCUGCAGGGGGAAAGAGGGGGGAAGGGAAGCAGCCGCCAAGUGAGCCAGGGCGUCCUGCUGCCAGCAGAGCCUGAAGGCAGGUGGGUGAGCCCCGGCCCGGGCACCAGCUGGGGAAGAGGCUGGGUCCCACCUGGACCCUGUUUCCCUGGCUCCAGCAUUUGGACUUCUGAGGCACCAAGGGUCUAGGGUCCUGGGUAUCUCUAGGUACUGAGACAGCUGUGUGGUCUGCUGCAUCCGUGCCCCUCUCUGAGCCUAGAGCCUGGGCUGGCCCAGGAAGCAGGAAGAAGUCUGCACCAGAAACUUAAAACAAGGGGAGGGGGGCCAGGUGCGGUGGCUCACGCCUGUAAUCCCAGCACUUUGGGAGGCCAAGACAGGCGGAUCACCUGAGGUCAGAAGUUUGGGACCAGCCUGACCAACAUGGUAAAACCCCAUCUGUACUAAAACACAAAAAUUAGCCCGGUGUGGUGGUGCACACCUGUAAUCCCAGCUACUUGGGAGGCUAAGGCAGGAGAAUCGCUUGAACCCAGGAGGCGGAGGUUGCAGUGAGCCGAGAUGGGGCCAAUGCACUCCAGCCUGGGCGACAUAGUGAGACUCAGUCUCAAAAACAACCAACCAACCAAAAAAAACAGGGGGAGGGGGCUUGACCUUCUGACCACCCCCACCGGACUCUAAGCCUGGUUUGAGGAGUGGGGGUCUAGGUGGUGAAAAGUGGGGGGCUACAAGGACCACCCUACCCCCUCCUCAAUGGGCCCUGCCCAGAAUCAAGGCUCUCCCCUCCCCGUGUGGGC